ACGGAUGAAGGCGACUACGCCGUGAAACUCAGGAACCUCACCCGGUUCCUGGAGCACGGCGACAAAUGCAAGGUCACCAUCCGCUUCCGGGGCCGCGAGAUGGCCCACCAGGAACUGGGCGCCAAGUUGCUGGACCGCAUCGAGGGGGAUCUCCAGGAACUGGCCACCGUGGAACAGCGGCCGAAGAUGGAAGGCCGCCAGAUGAUCAUGGUGAUGGGCCCCAAGAAGAAAUAACAAAGCCCCGGCCCGGUCCUCCCGGGUCCGAGGGCGAAUCCAGCCGGAUGUGCGGGUCCCGGUACACCUGCACGUCCCUAGCAACAGGACCGCCGUGACGGCGGCCUCAUCAGGAGUCCGA
RNAcentral lists this unclassified non-coding RNA (355 nucleotides) under Ectothiorhodospira mobilis. RNAcentral describes it as "Long range pseudoknot". Lineage: Bacteria; Pseudomonadati; Pseudomonadota; Gammaproteobacteria; Chromatiales; Ectothiorhodospiraceae. The record is from RNAcentral.